Molecule: long non-coding RNA, 827 nt
Organism: Tupaia belangeri chinensis (Chinese tree shrew)
Lineage: Eukaryota; Metazoa; Chordata; Mammalia; Scandentia; Tupaiidae
Exons: 3
Source: RefSeq, a predicted model, not a curated record
AUCAGGAAAAAACACAGAACUGCAUCUCCACUGCCACUGGCAGAGUUGGCGGGGUCUGGAGAUCCUGGUUCCAUGCGGUCCCCCCUUCCCUGACCUCUGGGAGUUACACUGACGUGCAGUGGAUGGUCAGAGAGGGAAAUAACAGCCUGGCUUGCUGUUUUCUGACCGUAGCUGGGCCACGGUAGGAUUAGGGCGGCUACAUGUAAGAGGACAGAAUGCUGACGAAGAUUGCAUUGUGUCUCCCCGAAUUCGCGUGCUGAAGCCCUAACCCCCAAUGCAACUGUGUUCAAGACAGAACUGUAAGGUAGAUGACGAAGGACAAGUGAGGUCGCAGGUGUGUGGCCUGUUAUGAUAGGACCGAUGGCUGACCUUUAAGAAGAGGAAGAGACACCAAGGGCUUGUGCACAAGAUAGAGGCCGCGCGAGGACAUAGCAAGAAGACAGCCUUUGCAAGCCAAGGAGAAAGGCCUCUGGAGAAGCCAGCCCUUGAUCUUGGACUUCCAAAAUACUGAGGAAACGGAAUCCUGUUUUUUAAGUCACCUGGUCUGGGUUAUUUUCUUACGGCCGCCCAAGCUAGUAUACAGUCUUUGUGUACUCCGCUGUCAGCGUCUCACCCGUUUCCCUGACAGUUCACGGAGAACUCAGUGGCUCGGGGACGGCAUCUGCAAGUCUUCCUGAGGCUGUGGCUGCAUUUCCUUCCGCAGAAUCUCUUUUGGCUUUCCAAGAGCAGCCAGGUGCUCUCCUGCUCCCUGCUUGCCCAUUGUGAGUCCUCCUCGCAGCUUUUUCACCUGCACAUUUGAUAUCCAUGUCUGCCCUAUCUUUAUUCAA